UGGGGAAUAUUGGACAAUGGGCGAAAACCUGAUCCAGCCAUGCCGCGUGUGUGAAGAAGGCCUUUUGGUUGUAAAGCACUUUAAGUGGGGAGGAAAAGCUUAUGGUUAAUACCCAUAAGCCCUGACGUUACCCACAGAAUAAGCACCGGCUAACUCUGUGCCAGCAACCGCGGUAAUACAGAGGGUGCAAGCGUUAAUCGGAAUUACUGGGCGUAAAGCGCGCGUAGGUGGUUAUUUAAGUCAGAUGUGAAAGCCCCGGGCUUAACCUGGGAACUGCAUCUGAUACUGGAUAACUAGAGUAGGUGAGAGGGGAGUAGAAUUCCAGGUGUAGCGGUGAAAUGCGUAGAGAUCUGGAGGAAUACCGAUGGCGAAGGCAGCUCCCUGGCAUCAUACUGACACUGAGGUGCGAAAGCGUGGGUAGCAAACAGGAUUAGAUACCCUGGUAGUCCACGCCGUAAACGAUGUCUACCAGUCGUUGGGUCUUUUAAAGACUUAGUGACGCAGUUAACGCAAUAAGUAGACCGCCUGGGGAGUACGGCCGCAAGGUUA
RNAcentral lists this ribosomal RNA (549 nucleotides) under uncultured bacterium. RNAcentral's name for it is "bacterial SSU rRNA". It matches the Rfam family "Bacterial small subunit ribosomal RNA", at positions 355 to 896 of the family's 1533-position model. The record is from RNAcentral.